Molecule: ribosomal RNA, 246 nt
Filed under: uncultured bacterium
Lineage: Bacteria
Description: partial 16S ribosomal RNA
Rfam family: Bacterial small subunit ribosomal RNA
Source: RNAcentral
AUACGGAGGAUGCGAGCGUUAUCCGGAUUUAUUGGGUUUAAAGGGUGCGUAGGCGGAAUAUAAGUCAGUUGUGAAAGUUUGCGGCUCAACCGUAAAAUUGCAGUUGAUACUGUUAUUCUUGAGUGUACAUAAGGUAGGCGGAAUUCGUGGUGUAGCGGUGAAAUGCUUAGAUAUCACGAAGAACUCCAAUUGCGAAGGCAGCUUACCGGGGUACAACUGACGCUGAGGCUCGAAAGCGUGGGGAGC